This 440-nucleotide ribosomal RNA is filed under the name uncultured bacterium. RNAcentral describes it as "partial 16S ribosomal RNA". It matches the Rfam family "Bacterial small subunit ribosomal RNA", at positions 338 to 795 of the family's 1533-position model. The record is from RNAcentral.
CCUACGGGUGGCAGCAGUGGGGAAUAUUGCACAAUGGGGGAAACCCUGAUGCAGCGACGUCGCGUGAGUGAGGACGUAUUUCGGUAUGUAAAGCUCUAUUAGCAGGGAAGAAACUGACGGUACCUGACUACGCAGCCCCGGCUAACUACGUGCCAGCAGCCGCGGUAAUACGUAGGGGGCAAGCGUUAUCCGGAUUUACUGGGUGUAAAGGGAGCGUAGACGGCUAGUCAAGUCAGACGUGAAAGCCCAGGGCUCAACCUUGGGACUGCUUUUGAAACUGGGUAGCUAGAGUGCAGGAGAGGUAAGCGGAAUGCCUAGUGUAGCGGUGAAAUGCGUAGAUAUUGGGAGGAACACCAGUGGCGAAGGCGGCUUACUGGACUGUAACUGACGUUGAGGCUCGAAAGCGUGGGGAGCAAACAGGAUUAGAUACCCGUGUAGUC